Molecule: RNA transcript, 2621 nt
Organism: Bacillus rossius redtenbacheri
Lineage: Eukaryota; Metazoa; Arthropoda; Insecta; Phasmatodea; Bacillidae
Exons: 5
Source: RefSeq, a predicted model, not a curated record
AGUUACGAGGCAACUAACUUUUAGAACAUUUCGCUGAAAGUUCGUGAGUCGAAAGUCUGUCGUGUCAACACGGAGAUAUUCUGCGAUAUUGGACAGUUCCUGCGACAUACACGGUCGAGAUCUGCCCGAUGGAUCCCGGUGCUGAAGUUCCCGUGGCGGAUGGAAGCGGAGAGAGUCGAGGUGCUUGAAGAGCUGAGUCGGUCACCACCGAGACUCCAGGCCUUCCCACCCUGUCGCCCGGAGCCUGUGACGUCACGGCGCGGUGCACCUGGUGCGCAAGGUCGGCGGCGAGGACGACGGGUGCAGCUACGCCCUGAAGGAGCUGCGCUAGGGGCCGCAUCGCCAGACCCAGGAGGUGCCAUCCAGGUCCUUCCCGAAGGAGCGGCGAGUCCUGGAGGCUUCCUCCUGCACCUGCACUGCGCCAUCCAGACGGAGGAGGUGGCCUUCUUCGUGGUCGACCACGCGGCGGGAGGCCCCCUAACAGCCGUGCUGGAGGACCUGUGGUUCCUGCCCGUCUGGUGCCGGCCCAGCUGUUCGCGGCCCUGGACACCCUCCACUCGCUCGGCGUGAGUCACCGAGACGUACAGACUGACAAGUUGUUUCAAGGCCGAAGCCCGGCCGAGCCUCACCACCACCUCCUCCUGGAACUGAACCCGUUUGGUGCUCGGAGCCGGCGGAGGAAGGCACGACUGAGCACUCGGCGCCCGAGGCGCUCCUGAGGACUCCGCCCGGCUGCACCGCCGCCGGGGACUGCUGGGGCGCGGGCGUGAUGGGGUUCGAGCUGCUGACGGGCAGCCUGCCCUUCGACCCGGAGGACGAGGGCGACCUGAACAUCAUCAACCAGGAGCCGCACUCCCAGCCGUGCCUGUCGCCCGAGGCGGCGGACUCGCUCAGGAGUCAGGGCCGACAGCACACCUGGCAGAGGACGGCGGGGUUGCUGAGCUGGAACGAUACCUGCCGGGGUUCAACCUCGCUCCGUCAAACCACCAGCAGUCCUCGUCCAGUCCGCAGCCUGGCUCGUCGGCGACAGCGUCGAGAGCCAGCGAUAUAGCCACGACAGCCCGCCCAGUUGGAGAAAUAUGGAGUAAGAGGCAGACAGCUGAAGCAAGAGGAAACAGCUGGAACAAGAUGCUGACAGCUGGAGCAAAAGGCAGACAGUCGGAGCAUGAGGCAGACAGCUGGAGCAAAAGUCAGACAGCUGGAGCAAGAGGCAGACAGCUAGAGCAAGAGGCAGAACAGAUGGAGCAUGAGGCAGACAGCUGGAGCAAGAGACUGAACAGCUGAAGCAAGAGGCAGAACAGCUGGAGCAUGAGGCAGACAGCUGGAGCAAGAGGCAGAACAGCUGGAGCAUGAGGCAGAACAGCUGGAGCAAGAUGCAGACAGUUGGAGCAAGAGGCAGACCAGCUGGAGCGAGAGGCAGAAGAGCUGGAGCAAGUGGUAUAACAGCUGUAGCAAGAGGCAGAGAGACAGCUGUAGCAAGAGUGAGAGAGACAGCUGCAGAAAGAGUGAGAGAGAUAGGUGGAUAAAGAGAGAGAUAUUAGGAAAAGGAGAGAGAUAGACAUGUGAAAUAAGAGAGAGAGACAGCUGGAGCAAUUGAGAGACAGCUGGAAUAGAGUUACAUAGCUGGAGCGAGAGACAGAAAGCUGGAGCAAGAGGCAGACAGCUGCAGUAGGAGAGAGACAGCUGGAGCAGGAGACAGACAGCUGUAGACGGAGACAGACAGCUGGAGUAGGAGAUAGACAGCCGGAGCAAGAGCCAGAACUGCUGGAGCAAGAGGCAGACAGCUGGAGCAAGAGGCAGAACAGCUGUAGCAAGAGGGCAGAUCCGCUGGAGAAUGAGGCAGACACCUGGAGCAAGAGGCAGAACAGCUGGAACAUAAGGCAAAACAGCUGGAGCAUGAAGCAGAUAACUGGAACAUGAGCCAGAACAGCUGGAGCAAGAGGCAGACAGCUGGAGCAAGAGGCAUAACAGCUGGAGCAAGAGGGCAGAUCCGCUGGAGAAUCAGGCAGACAGCUGGAGCUAGAGGCAGACCAGCUGGAGCGAGAGGCAGAAGAGCUGGAGCAAGUGGUAGAACAGCUGUAGCAAGAGGAAGAGAGACAGCUGUAGUAAGAGUGAGAGAGACUGCUGCAGAAAGAGUGAGAUAUGUGGAAAAGGAGAGAGAUAGACAUGUGAAAUAAGAUAGAGAGACAGCUGGAGCAAUUGAGAGACAGCUGGAAUAGAGAUAUAUAGCUGGAGCGAGAGACAGAAAGCUGGAGCAAGAGGCAGACAGCUGGAGCAGGAGAGAGACAGCUGGAGCAGGAGACAGACAGCUGUAGAUCGAGACAGACAGCUGGAGUAGGAGACAGACAGCUGACGCAGGAGACAGCAAGAGCAUGAGACAGAUAUAUGGAACAGGAGACAGACAGAUGGAGCAGGAGACAGACAGCUGGAGCAAUUGAGAGAGACAGCUGAAGCAAUUGAGAGAGACAGAUCUAGCAAGAGAGGGAUACAGCUGGAGGACAGACAUACAGCUGGAGCAGAGACAGACAGCUGGAGCAAGAGACACACAGCUGGAGCAGGAGACAGACAGAUGGAGCAAUUGAGAUUAACAGUUGGAGCAAUUGAGAGCGACAGCUUUGCAA